Anaerolineaceae bacterium 4572_32.1 is the source of this 72-nucleotide non-coding RNA. Lineage: Bacteria; Bacillati; Chloroflexota; Anaerolineae; Anaerolineales; Anaerolineaceae. The record is from Rfam.
GCGGGCGUAGUUUAGCGGUAGAAUGUCUCCUUGCCAAGGAGAAGGUCAUGGGUUCAAAUCCCAUCGCCCGCU